RNAcentral lists this long non-coding RNA (932 nucleotides) under Danio rerio (zebrafish). RNAcentral describes it as "lncRNA (ENSDARG00000117811.1)". The record is from RNAcentral. Lineage: Eukaryota; Metazoa; Chordata; Actinopteri; Cypriniformes; Danionidae.
UGUUACAUUUUUUCAGCUUACAUGAAGUCAUUUAGAUACACCAUUGACAUAAAAGUUAAUGCUUCAAAUAAAGCUGUGAUCGACCGUUUGAGGGCAAUGAUCAGUGGACCGAAAUUUCCAAUGUGUGUCAAGAAAGGCAUGAAAAUAUCCAGUACAAACAUCACUACAGUUUGUCUCUCAAAUAUGAGCAAAACUGAGUGCAGCUGUGAGAAUCAGUACAUUUGGUCCUCUGAUCAAUGCUCUAAAUAUGCAUUUUGUGGCUCAAGUCAAAAUACCAGAUGUGGAUGCAUCACUUCUCUCCCAACUGAUGGUUCAUUCUGCCGACCACAACCUGCUUACUUAAAGUCAUUCAGAUACACCAUUGAAAUAAAAGCCAACACUUUAAGAAAAGCUGUAAUCGACCAAUUGAAGGCGAUGAUCAAUGGACAGAAAUUUCCAAUUUGUGUCAAAAAAGACAUGAAAAUCUCCAGUGCAAACAUCACUACAGUUUGUCUCUCAAAUUCAAGCAAAACUGAGUGUAGAUGUGAGAAUCAGUACAUCUGGUCUUCUGAACAAUGCUCUAAACAUGGCGUUUGUGGUCCAAAUCAAAAUAAUACAUGUGGAUGCAUCACUUCACUCCCAACUGAUGGAACAACAUGUCAUCCAGCACCAGGUACAGUAAACUCUUCCCAUUUAUUUCAAAAUGAAGUUGGCAGUUGGCUUGAUUGUGACAUGACAUGGUUUCUGAACAGAUAAUUAUUUUCACUUUUUUACAAUUGUUUUCAGCUCCUUUGAAAUCAUUCAGAUACACCAUUGAUAUAAAAGUUAAUGCUUCAGAAAAGGCUGUGAUCGACCGUUUGAGGGCGAUGAUCAGUGGACAGAAACUCCCAAUGUGCAUCAAGAAAGGCAUGAAAAUAUCCAGUACAAACAUCACUACAGGUGAGAGAAAUAGG